UGGGGAAUAUUGGACAAUGGGCGAAAGCCUGAUCCAGCCAUGCCGCGUGUGUGAAGAAGGUCUUCGGAUUGUAAAGCACUUUAAGUUGGGAGGAAGGGCAGUAAGCGAAUACCUUGCUGUUUUGACGUUACCGACAGAAUAAGCACCGGCUAACUCUGUGCCAGCAGCCGCGGUAAUACAGAGGGUGCAAGCGUUAAUCGGAAUUACUGGGCGUAAAGCGCGCGUAGGUGGUUCGUUAAGUUGAAUGUGAAAGCCCCGGGCUCAACCUAGGAACUGCAUCCAAGACUGGCGAGCUAGAGUAGGGCAGAGGGUGGUGGAAUUUCCUGUGUAGCGGUGAAAUGCGUAGAUAUAGGAAGGAACACCAGUGGCGAAGGCGACCACCUGGGCUCAUACUGACACUGAGGUGCGAAAGCGUGGGGAGCAAACAGG
Molecule: ribosomal RNA, 429 nt
Filed under: Pseudomonadota bacterium
Lineage: Bacteria; Pseudomonadati; Pseudomonadota
Description: Proteobacteria bacterium partial 16S ribosomal RNA
Rfam family: Bacterial small subunit ribosomal RNA
Source: RNAcentral